Molecule: non-coding RNA, 5434 nt
Organism: Manis javanica (Malayan pangolin)
Lineage: Eukaryota; Metazoa; Chordata; Mammalia; Pholidota; Manidae
Source: RefSeq, a predicted model, not a curated record
AGAAGAAAGGAGAAAAGAGACGUUGUCCCAACCUCCACCCUUCAAAAGGCGGCCGGCGACGGGGCACCAUAGUCGCGACUCUCCUCGGAUCCCGAAAGGAAGUCGGGCUGCUGCCCCCCGACCCAAGCGCAGGCCGGGGGAGGGGCGCUCGUUAGCGGAGAAAAGGGCUGGGGGAGAAGGUCACAGACGCGACCGACGGACAGCAGCGGCGACUUGUCAAAGGGAAAGACGUAAGAGGCGGCGGCAGAGGCCGCAGGCGAGUCUCGCGGUAUUUCGGCGGAACUCUCGCGCAGCCUGGAUCCCCUGGUCCCGCCCCCAGGUCUUGAGCCGGAGGCGUGAGGAGUCGGGGGAGUAUCCGCGGAGCGAGGGUAAUGAGGGGGGAAAGCGUAGAGGAUUUAAUGGCUUGUGGUGAGGAGUCUAGGUUCUGAGGACCUCGCCGCCCAGCCGCCCUCAUUCUUCAAUCCUCGUGGAGUCCGGACACCCCCGUCCGCCCACCAGGACCGGGCUCCGCCUAUGAGGGACAGUUGGGGGCAUUUAACAGAGUGAGUGUGCUGCAGGACUGCCAGAACCCUGCAGAUGAGACUCCUUGAUUUUCUUUUCUGCUGAGGAACACGGAGUUUUCCACUUGAUUGAACCUCCUUCUGGCUGCCACAAAGAUAUUCUGUCAGCCUUGAUCUCCACUGUCUCCAUCUUGUGGGACCACCUCAGAUGUGAUGGGUAUCCAGGAGUCUAUUCUACCUACUACACCAUUGGGCUGUAUCCUUUCUCAUUGGUCCCAGAUAGAUCCAGAGACACUCAAAAAGAAAAGACUGGUAUUCUUCUGCAACACAGCUUGGCCCCAGUAUCAACUAGGGGACCAGGAGCAAUAGCCUCUUAAUGGAACUCUUAACCCUAACACCUUCAUUCAGCUUGACCUCUUCUGCAAACACCUGGGUAGACAGAUCCCAUAUAUUCAGGUUUUCUUCUAUCUUAGAAGCUGGGAGAAUCUCUGCAAUACUUGUAAGUUAGAUUUGUCCGUCCACCCUCUGCUUCUCUCCCUGCUUUACCCGCACCCCAGUACUCAGGAUCACCCAAGGGCAAACUUCACAGCUAACCUCACAGAGCCAUCAAGUACCAAGUCCCAAGUACUCAAAUUCACUCCCAAAGGCACCUGCUAAAGUUCUCCCACUAGUGGAAACAGCAGGCAGAGAAUUUGGCACUGUACUAGUCCAUAAACCUUUUUCACUAACAAUUAAAACAGCUUAAGGCUGAUCUUGGCAGCUAUAUUACCAAUCCAGAUAACUAUAUUGAUCAAUUCCAAUAUAUCAGCCUAGCUUAUGACCUCCCCUGGAAGAACGUCAUGAUACUCCUGGGACAGACUCUCUCUGACCCUGAACAAGAGAGUUAUUAAGCAAGCCCUUAAAUUUGCCAGUAGCCUCCAUUUGUCAGACACUAAAUUUCCCAUUGGGGAAACAGCUUAUUCCCUCUAUAGAUCCUAACUAGGGUUUUAAUGACAAAGAAGCGAUGUGGGACAGAAACCACUUCCUCCUUUCCAUAAAGACAGGGCUAAAAAACACCAGGCAGAAAGUUAUUAGCUAUUCAAAGGCUGCAGCCAUUAGUCAGGGGCUGGAGGAAAAUCCAAUUACUUUCUGAGAAAGCCUGUGAGACAACCUCACUGAAUAUACUAAUCUAGAUUUAGACUUAUAUGAAGGACAAGUAAUAGAGAGAUAAAUUCCUCUCUCAGUCAACAUCUGACAUCAGAAAAAAAUUACAAAAACAGAUCCAGAUAAACCCCAAUAGCAGUGUAGAUGAACUCCUGACUGGUCAGUACUGUGUUCCAUGGCCGUGAUCAGGAAGAGGCUGGGGCUCCGGAAAGGGAAACAAGAAAGGAGACCUGACAUACUCAGCUACUAGCCGCCCUUGCGGCCCAGUCUACUUCCAUGUCCACGGACUCGAAGAGAAUUCUAAGAAAGUAAGUAGGAGGAGGAUAUACUUAUCUGUUGGAGGACCAGGCACUGGGCAAAGAGUUGUCCUAGUAGCUACUGGAGCCACCCAUGGUCCUUGAGCUUCUUUUGCAGGAAUGAGGAGGCCCUGGCAGGUCAGCCCCAACCCAUGACAUCGACAUCACUGGACUAGAGCCAAGGGUAACCAUGGACAGUUUUGGCAGAUAGGACAGUUUUCUUUUUAAUUGACACCAGGGCCUCCUACUCUGUCCUCAAUUCCUAUUUGGACCCCUGUCCUCCCAAACUUGUAUGAUACUCAGAGUGACAGGAACUCCUACUACUCGAACCUUCACUCCGCCCCUAGAAUGCCCCCUCCAUAGCCAUUAUUUUUCACACCCAUUUUUAGUCAUGAAAGAAUGCCUCAUUUCCCUCCUGGGAUGAGACAUACUAGAAAAAUUGCACACCAGGAUGAUUUUCAGCUUUCCCCCGGCCAGUCAGGCUCCUCUUCAACUUCUGGUCAUUCCCAAAACCCCCUCAUCAGCUUUUCAAUACUGGGAAUAGUCUGUUGAUCCUGACAUUUGGGAUAAGGGAAUCCCAGGAAGGGCUAAAUAUGCCACCUCAGUACUCUAUUAGGAACCAUUCUACCUGACACCUCAUGGUUCAUGACCCCAAAUUUCAAGGAUGCCUUUUUCUGCAUCCCUUUAGAAAAACAAUCAAAAUCAUGAUUUGCUUUCGAAUGGACCACUCCAGAAAACAACUCUGGCCAACUAACUUGGACUGUUCUCCCCAAAGAAUUAAGAGACAGUCCUCAUCUAUUUGGACAAGCCUUAUCCCAAGACCUAGCCCACCAGCACCUAAACAGCGGGGCAUACUCAUACAAUAUAUAGAUGAUCUUUUCAUCUGUUCUCCCACAAAACAAGACUCCAUCAAUCAUACUAUUCAAACCCUUAAUUUCUUAACUGAGCAGGGGUAUAAAGUUUCAAGGGCCAAAGCUCAGUUAGUACAACAAAAGGUCAGUUACCUGGGAAUAAUCCUUACUCCAGGAAAGAAAGGCCUUUCUCCAGGCUGAAUUCACGCCAUUAUCUCACACUCCCAACCUACUACUUGCAAACAACUCUGGGCAUUCCUAGGACUGACAUGGUAUUGCAGAUGGUGAAUCUCAAAUUAUGGACUUAUUGCACAGUCUCUCUAUGAAGUCCUAAAAUGACUCUAAACCUUUAGACUAGGGACCACCACAGUAAAAAGCUGUCGAUCUGCUUAAGGACCUGUUGACACAGGCCCCUCCCAAACCCAGUCAGGCCAUUCCAACUACUCCCAUAAAAGACAAGGAGUAGCCCUUGGAGUUCUAACUCAAUAGCUAAGCCCAACUCAUCAACCUAUGGCCUAUUCGUCAAAAAGACUCAACCCCAUGGUGCAGGGAUAGCCUUCCUGUUUUAGAGCCAUUGGGGCCCUUACUCUCUUGCUAUAAGAAGCUUCAAACUAACCCUAGGGGUUCCCAUCCAGGUUUAUACCUCAUAAUAUUCCUGACCUACAAUACAAUUGAUUCUGAUGGCUGUCUGACAAUAGACUCCUUAAAUAUCAAGCCAUGCUGUUGGAAAACCUGAUACUACCAAAGCUACAUGCUCAACUCUAAAUCCAGCUACCUUGCUCCUCGACACCCAGGAAGAGCACAUAGAUUCAUGUAAAGAGGCACUCUGUUACAGAGUAUAAUACUUUCUUGCUUGCUUUCUUGACUUUGUUUUCACUCUGACUUCCCUGCAACUCUGAACCAAACUCCUUUUUAUCAUGUAUAUGGAGUCCUGUCAUUGUUGAUAGUGCUUUAGGAGCUGGAUAUUACAUGAAGCUUAAGACAAGGCCAGUAAGCUCCCAUGUCAUUCUCAUUUUAAGUUGCUGAUGAUGUAGUCAUCUGUGCCACUCACAAGCAUCCCACAACAGUCCAUUUUUCUUGGAUUUGUAAAAGUGUACUGCUUUUGGCCAUUCUCUUUCAAGAAAAGGACUCUUCUUAUUUUAAAGGCCAUUUGAAAGACUCCCUCCUUUGCCCUUUUCUUAGCUUCCACCCUCAGGGCAAUAUGGAAAGGAGAAUUGUAUGCAAUUCAGUCCAAUUGCAUACAAUUAUUAAAUGCAGAUAGUGUCAGCAAGUAAGCCCUGACUACUUUCCACUGUCAUCUUGACCACUCCAUAUCCUAAACACUCCUUAAUACUUCAGUCAACAUCUGCUGGAAUCAUUGUCAGCAUUAUCCUCUCAACUCUACAUUUCAUUUAUCCAGAUUACCCCUAGAGAAAAAUGUUGGAGAUGAGAGGCGAGGGAUAUGGGGAACUCAAGGUCAAGGCCUCAGCAUGGCAGGCCCUUGCCCUCAUAGUCCUCUGAGCAGCACACUCUGGCCAUACCACUCAGCUACAUGUUUUCCCACACAUACACAUCCCCCCGCCCCCCAUUUCUUGCCACAUAUUCCACAGUCCUGUAUCUCAGUCAGGAGGUCCCAAGCAGAGGAACUGGAAAAUUGAUGAAGAGUAUGUAAUUUUCAUCUUUCAUUUGCACAUAGGCAGUAUGUGUCUAUAUAAAUAAAAACGGCUAAGUCAGAAAUGAAAGGAGGCAGAACAGGGAGAAGGUUAAAAGGGUUCAGGGAAUGUUUGUUUUGCCUUUGGCUUAGAGUUCCCUAUGUUCAGAAAAGGGCUCCAGAGAAGUAGUCAACAAUUGGAAUAAACAAUUGUGAAUCCUGGUGUCUCCUUAAGUUGCAGCCUAUUUGCCCUUAGGUUACACAACUUUUCUGAACCUCUUUUCACAUCUGUAAAUAGGAAUGAUAAUGGGUUUCCUGUCUGCCUCAGAGUAUCAUGGGAGUCAAAAACAUAGGAAAGUACUUUGUGAGCCUAAUGCAUUAUAUAAAUGUGAGCGUAUUAUCAUUCAUUCAUUCAUUUAACAGAUCUUAGUUGAAUCUCUAUCAUAAACCAGGCACAUUUGCAAGGCACUGAGUAUACUAAGUUGAGCAAGCUUUAGUACCUGCCCCCAAGGAGUUUAUAGUCUAACGGAAGGAAAUAGAAAGGAGGGGAAAGAAUAGAUAAUGAUAAUACCAUGUGAAGAAAGUGAAAGUGACAAGGGUAUGCUGGGGAAGGAUAGAGAGCAAGAGGAAGGACAAAGCUGAAGCACUUCGUGGAAAGGAGAUUUAGAGGGAUAGCACAUGUAAUAGGGAUCCAGCCAUUUCAUGAAGAAUGAUUCAUAAAUCAACUCCAGAUUAACUUCAACAAAUUGCUUUGUUGUGGGUUGUGAAUUCUGCUUUAUUCUAAUAAAACUCACAUCUCCUAAACCAUUAGAAGAGUCUGUGAUGUGGAGGCAUUAUAUAUACCCAUUAGCUUUGAAGAAAGAUGAAAUUAACAGGAAAAAAAUCAGUGGUGUUGACAGGGACUGUGGGCUUAGAUAGAGUAGGCAAAGGGCCUCCGGAAAAAGCAAGGCAGGAUAUUUACAGUCAGAGCAAUGUAAUUACAUGCAAGGAAACCCCCUACCAAAACUGUGUUAA